RNAcentral lists this unclassified non-coding RNA (789 nucleotides) under Hevea brasiliensis (rubber tree). The record is from RNAcentral. Lineage: Eukaryota; Viridiplantae; Streptophyta; Magnoliopsida; Malpighiales; Euphorbiaceae.
GUGUGUGUGUGUGUGUGUGUGACUACCAUUAAAGAGUCAUCAAAGUAACUUUUCCACCUCUCUUUAAUUAUACGUAAAGAAAUAUAAUUAAAAUGUAAAUAAGAGCAAGAGAAUGCACACACACUUAGGCCCCUGUGAUAGCAGAGAGAUAUCAAAAGGGGAACUUUUCAAUUACACACAAUGAUUCUUCAAACUGAUGGCUAGAAUACAAAGUGAAGAAAAAGCUUGUGCAAUUCAACCACUCACUUACAAACACAUAUCUCUCAUAAUGCCAACAUCUGUCUUUUCUAUUACGAAGCAAUUUUCCCUUACUAGAAUGGGAGAGAAGAAAAAUUUUGGAGGGAGAAAGAGAGAAGGGUAUGCCUUUUAUGUGAUAGAUAAAGUAACAAUCAAUCAGUGAUUAGCUUUAGGCUUUUAGCCAUCUGACAAUAAAUAGUUGUAUAUAACUAUGUUUAUAUUAACACCAAAAACAAUUCAUGCUUCUGCAACUAUAGCACUCCAUGAAAACACUUUUUCAUUUUUUAUGCCAAGAUGCAGUUCAUGGACUGUGUUCACUUCAGUAGUAAAGACUACCAUUUUGUGCAUUGGCAACUUUUAAUGACACUAAAAACUCAUUUUGGGGAAAUGGCAAUAUAACUAUCAGAAUGAAGCUAAUAUGAUGUUAAGAAGCCUGGAGAAGAAAUGUCUACAAAACAGCUUCAAGAUAUCCAAGCUCCCCUUCCAUGUUUAAAUCAAAAAGAAAUGAACAGGGGGAAUGAAUCAUCUAUCAGAAGCAAUUUCUUGAAGUUA